This 953-nucleotide ribosomal RNA is filed under the name Wellcomia siamensis. RNAcentral's name for it is "large subunit ribosomal RNA". The record is from RNAcentral. Lineage: Eukaryota; Metazoa; Nematoda; Chromadorea; Rhabditida; Oxyuridae.
UUUUUUUUUUUUGGUAGUUUAUUUAGUAUUGUGUACUAGUAGAAGAUAUUUUUAUUUUUAUUAAUAAUAAAAUUUAUCUGUUAUGUAUAUUUUUUUUUUUGUUUUAAAAAUAAAUAUAGAUAGGAAAAAAAAAUAUGUAUUGAUAAGACGUAGAUAGAGUUUUUUGUUUUUUUUUUUUAUUGGAAAUUUAUAUUUUUUUUUCUUAUUUUUUUUUAUAUAUGAUUAGAAUUGUUUUUUUAUGUAUAAUAACAUGAAAAGUGAAGGGAGAGAGUAAUUUAAGAUUGUUUUUUUAUUUGAUUUUAAAUAAAUAAAAAAUUUUUAUUUUAGUAAAAAGAAAGGAAAAAAAGAGAAAGAAGAUUUUAAAUUUUUUUUGUGAGAAAUGGGAAUAAGGUCAAAUGUUUUUUAAAGACUUAGGUUUUUUAUUAAAAUUGUUUUCUGCUCUAUGAAUUUAUGUUUAAAUGGCAACCUUAGUUUGAGGGUGAUAAGGUAGCAUAAUGGUUUGUGUUUUUAUUGGAUUCUGGUAUGAAUGGAAUUUUUGGCUUUUGUUUUUUUUAUUAUUUUUGUUUGAAUUAUUAUUAUAUUUAAAAAAAAAUAUAUUUAUUUAAACUAAGAUAAGUCUUCGGAAAUUUUUUUUAUAGUUGUUUGGGGUAAAGAAAAUUGGUAUUUUUUUUUAAACUAAGUUUAAUUGUGUAAAUUACUUCGGAGUUAACAGAAUGUUUAUUUUUGAUAUAGUUUCUUAUAUUAUUAAUAAUAUUACAUCGAUGUUGUAUUUUUUUGUAUUGUUUAUUAGGUAGGUAUAAUAAUUUUUUAGACUGUUCUUCUUUUUUUUUUGUUAAAAAUAAAACGUGAUAUUAGUUUAAUUCAUUGUGAAAUAGAAUUGUUUAUCUAGUUAAAUAAGAGUAGUGUUUUUUAUUAGUACGAAAGGAAUAUAGAUAAAAUUUGAAAUUUAUUUU